RNAcentral lists this ribosomal RNA (482 nucleotides) under uncultured Cellulosimicrobium sp. RNAcentral's name for it is "partial 16S ribosomal RNA". The record is from RNAcentral. Lineage: Bacteria; Bacillati; Actinomycetota; Actinomycetes; Micrococcales; Promicromonosporaceae.
CACGUAGUUAGCCGGCGCUUCUUCUGCAGGUACCGUCACUUGCGCUUCUUCCCUGCUGAAAGAGGUUUACAGCCCGAAGGCCUUCAUCCCUCACGCGGCGUCGCUGCAUCAGGCUUGCGCCCAUUGUGCAAUAUUCCCCACUGCUGCCUCCCGUAGGAGUCUGGGCCGUGUCUCAGUCCCAGUGUGGCCGGUCGCCCUCUCAGGCCGGCUACCCGUCGUCGCCUUGGUAGGCCAUCACCCCACCAACAAGCUGAUAGGCCGCGAGCCCAUCCCUGACCGAAAAACUUUCCAACCACCCCAUGCGAAGGUAGCUCAUAUCCGGUAUUAGCCCCGGUUUCCCGGAGUUAUCCCGAAGUCAAGGGCAGGUUACUCACGUGUUACUCACCCGUUCGCCACUAAUCCACCCAGCAAGCUGGGCUUCAUCGUUCGACUUGCAUGUGUUAAGCACGCCGCCAGCGUCUCUCGUGCGAGAGUCAACUACU